UUUAAACCUUAAACUAGCAGCGCACGUCACUUUCUGAGUGAAGUGCGCGACGUGCGCGUGCCCGUCAUUUUGUAACGGUCAACUUCCAGCAGACGGACACGGAGGAAAGGGCCUGACAACCACCAGUUGAGUCCAUGAUUCAGGGAAGAGACAGUCUGGGCAGCAGCAACAAGACAACUAUUACAAGUAGAGAUGGGUUUCAAGAACUGGUACUAAUUUGGUUCCUGACUUGUUCAGUACUGAAAACAUUUACAUAAGACACAACCACAUAUCCUUCAAAUCAUCUCUGCGUGGAUGGCAGCAAGGAUCCAGGAUCAAGAGAUCAUUCUUCAUGGAGACUGUUCCACAGGAAGCAGUUUCUCCUGGGUGAAAAACUAAACCUGGUUGUUUCAGCAUCACUCAGGCAAGCCUAAAUACUUUUAAAUUGAUUUCAGUUGGUUGUGUUUCAGGUCAUCCUGACCAUUCUGCUGUCCUGGAUGUAAGUCCGUGCUGGAACUACAUUUCUCGUGGUUGAAAGAUUUGUGCAGCGGUAUCCAGACAUAUAACGCCCCAUCACACGGGGCGUCAACGCCUCUCGUUUACUUUUAAAUGAAGUGACGUCAAGGAUGGUGAAAUUAAUUCUAGAAAUUAAUUCUAAAUAGAAGUUGAAGACUUCUCAAGCGCCAAUGCAGCCGUCCUCCAGUCAGAACAUCUUAUGCAAAUA
Long non-coding RNA from Carassius gibelio (silver crucian carp), 703 nucleotides. RefSeq lists it as uncharacterized. The transcript has 4 exons. Lineage: Eukaryota; Metazoa; Chordata; Actinopteri; Cypriniformes; Cyprinidae. The record is from RefSeq and is a predicted model, not a curated record.